Molecule: transfer RNA, 69 nt
Filed under: Ictidomys tridecemlineatus (thirteen-lined ground squirrel)
Lineage: Eukaryota; Metazoa; Chordata; Mammalia; Rodentia; Sciuridae
Description: Spermophilus tridecemlineatus (thirteen-lined ground squirrel) tRNA
Rfam family: tRNA
About the family: Transfer RNA (tRNA) molecules are approximately 80 nucleotides in length. Their secondary structure includes four short double-helical elements and three loops (D, anti-codon, and T loops).
Source: Rfam by way of RNAcentral
GGAAUUGUAGCUCAGUGGUAGAGUGCUUGCCCACUAUGUAUGAGGCACUGGGUUCAAACCUCAGCACCA